UUUUUUCACGGUAAAAAGACCUAAUUUUUUUUUCUAUUUAAUGCAGGCAUGAGUUGGUCAAAAACAAAAAAAAUAUAUUAGGUUAUUUCAGAUUCUCAGAUGCUUAUUAAAACUAUUAUAUUGAAUCGACUGACUAUAAUUAUAUGGAGUUUCCUUGGAGAUUGUUUCAUUCAUCUACUUUACAUUUGAGGGUGUAUCCACGCGCCAUGAUUGCGAGUGGUCGACAAUGAAUAUUAACCAUAUCCACUAAAAAUUGAAAGGAGAAUAAAAUUAAAGAGUGACGUAAAAGCCAGGAUUGUUUCAGUGUGAUUCACCCCAACGUGGUAUUUUACGUAUCGACCGUAGAUCUUAGGAAAGUCAACAAAGUAUGGUUAUCUAACGAUGAGGUCUAUGUAAAAUAUGGAAAGGCAGAUAUGUUUCGAGAACAACAACUUUUAGUGAAAGACAAACGGAGAACAAUCUGGUCUGCUGCUAAAGAAAUUUUACACACAAAAAUUAAAAUAAAUAAAACAGAAAUGCGAAAAAGAGGAGACCUUUGUGGCUUUGUCUAAUUGCCUCCACUGACUCCUGAAAAAAAGAAAAAAAAAACGCGAUAAAAGCAGAGAAAUUCAGUUCACCGACUAAGGAAGUCUCCGUUGAAAAUCCGAUGCAAUCCACUGACGGAGACGGCGGUGAAGGAGGGAGUGGAGAGGGGAACCGAGGUGGGUUAUCUAGGAUCCGUUCAGCUCCCGCGACUUGGAUUGAAACCCUACUCGUGGAUGAUGAGGAAGACGAUUUGAAACCUAACCUCUGUUUGACUGAGCUUCUUACCGGAAGCUCGGCUCGUGACUCAUUUGAGUUCCCGAGCUCCGCUGAGCAGGGAUUGUACAAUCACCAAGGUGGUGGCUUUCACCGUCAAAAUAGCACUCCGGCGGAUUUUCUCAGUGGCUCUGGAGCUGGGACUGAUGGGUAUUUCUCAAAUUUUGGGAUUCCGGCGAAUUACGACUACUUGCCGCCGAACGUUGACAUUUCUCCGGCGAGUAAACGGUCGAGGGAAAUUGAAGCUCAGUUCUCUUCUCAGAUGAAAGAAGAGCAAAUGAGUGGUGGUGUAUCAGGAAUGAUGGAUAUCAACAUGGAUAAGCUACUUGAGGACUCGGUUCCUUGUAGGGUUCGUGCUAAACGCGGUUGUGCAACUCAUCCUCGUAGCAUUGCUGAACGGGUGAGGAGAACGCGAAUAAGUGAUCGGAUCAGGAGGCUGCAAGAACUUGUUCCUAACAUGGAUAAGGUAGUUUUCUAUUGCAGCGCAUAUUAAUUUCCAAAAUUUGGUAAUAAUCACGAAAUGGGGCCAAGAAUGCUUAGAGCUUAUGGUAAGAAGUAGCGCUCUUACUAAGCUUAGCUGUAAAGGAAAAUGGAUGUUAAAUGUUGGAUGAUUUUGUGAAGGAUUCUUUGUAUGAUACUUGAUUAGUUGCCUCGUAACACAUUAUGAAAAAAACAAACGUUUGAGAAAUACUUUCUGAAACGCUGAGAACGAUGAAACUCUGAUAUAUUGCAGAUAUUCAGAUUUUAUGAUCUUUUUUGCUUCUUUUUUUUUUGCAGCAAACCAACACUGCAGACAUGUUAGAAGAAGCUG
This is an RNA transcript of Brassica rapa (field mustard), 1609 nucleotides long. It is a transcript of the gene named transcription factor bHLH80, with no coding region annotated. The record is from RefSeq and is a predicted model, not a curated record. Lineage: Eukaryota; Viridiplantae; Streptophyta; Magnoliopsida; Brassicales; Brassicaceae.